AGUGAACGCUGGCGGUAGGCCUAACACAUGCAAGUCGAACGGCAGCACAGUAAGAGCUUGCUCUUACGGGUGGCGAGUGGCGGACGGGUGAGGAAUACAUCGGAAUCUACUUUUUCGUGGGGGAUAACGUAGGGAAACUUACGCUAAUACCGCAUACGACCUACGGGUGAAAGCAGGGGAUCUUCGGACCUUGCGCGAUUGAAUGAGCCGAUGUCGGAUUAGCUAGUUGGCGGGGUAAAGGCCCACCAAGGCGACGAUCCGUAGCUGGUCUGAGAGGGUGAUCAGCCACACUGGAACUGAGACACGGUCCAGACUCCUACGGGAGGCAGCAGUGUGGAAUAUUGGACAAUGGGCGCAAGCCUGAUCCAGCCAUACCGCGUGGGUGAAGAAGGCCUUCGGGUUGUAAAGCCCUUUUGUUGGGAAAGAAAAGCAGCAUGUUAAUACCCCGCUGUUCUGACGGUACCCAAAGAAUAAGCACCGGCUAACUUCGUG
This 492-nucleotide ribosomal RNA is filed under the name uncultured bacterium. RNAcentral describes it as "partial 16S ribosomal RNA". It matches the Rfam family "Bacterial small subunit ribosomal RNA", at positions 29 to 507 of the family's 1533-position model. The record is from RNAcentral.